Gasterosteus aculeatus aculeatus (three-spined stickleback) is the source of this 1748-nucleotide long non-coding RNA. Lineage: Eukaryota; Metazoa; Chordata; Actinopteri; Perciformes; Gasterosteidae. The record is from Ensembl.
AGAUCAGUCCAAUGAGGGUGGUGUCAUCCGCAAACUUCGGGAGCUUGGCGGACUGGUGACUGGAGGACUGACACAUCGCUGGCAUUCGUGCGGCGGGUCUGGACUUUACGUGCACCGCGGAGAAGUGCUGAAUUCACAGCAUCCUCUCCGAUGCCGCUGUAGGGCCUUUGAGGUCACGGCCGAGGGAGCCGCGUACAGAAGAGCUGUAGCGAAGUACAAAAUGAAGUAAAUGGUUUAUUGAUUUCCACCCCCUCUGCCCACCUCCUCCCCCGGACACGAACAUAAUGGCAUGAGACGAGAUGUUAAUAAAGACUGAAGGUUUACUGAGAGGACACCCACACUGUCUGACACUUGCUGGGUGACGCACAGAAUGGUCCUCUACUCGUCAACAGGAAGGCUCGGCCCCAGAGAGGCAUCAAGAGCGCAGAGGAACGCGAGAAUAAGAUACUGUUUCUGAUCUUUUUCUAAGACUCAGACAUAAUCUAGGUGGACCCGGACAAGUAUUAUUAACGAGUUGCAUCAUCUGGAAAUUGAUCAGAGCCUUAGAGAAGAUUAUCAAAAGCAUUUGAGAGAGAAAGAGACAAUCUAUUGAUUCUCCGGGUCGGUUGCUUAGCUUUUCCACUGAAAUCUCAUUAAGGAUGAAGUUGGCUCUGAGCAGUGUUUACCAUCUUCCACAUAGAAUUUUUUUAAUUACGUCGAGCCGCCUGACUGCCAAAAUCGAUAGCUAAGAAUCCCAAACCACUGGGCGGCGAGAGGCAAUUCACUUUGGUUCGGGAACUGGAAAAACGAAGUGGAUGGACUGUGGCCAUCUGCGGCGAGUUCUCAGCAGUGUCCGCAAUUGUUUCUGCAUUCUCCUCCCAUGGCCUUGGAAAAAAAAUGAUAUGGAAGGCUGGUCAGUUAUUCUAGAUAUUUAUUUUUUUCCCCUUACGGAUAAAAGCAUCAUUAGCUCAAGGUCGGUCCACUUGCACUUCCCCCUGCAAUUUCAUUUUCUUCACAUGGGCUGUGCUCUUCACAGAAGGUGCUGUGUUAAAGGAGAGACAGCUCUCCUCCAGCCAGAGACCUUGCAAACAUGAUUAAAAGAUGACUUCAUUCCCGGUAAAUCUCCACCUGCGCUCUGUUCAUGCAAGACUCAUCAAGGCGGUCCGUGAACAAUGUCACUGUGGGAAACGUUGAUAUUUGCAUCUCAGUUGCAAAAAUCCACCAACAGAAAUGUUUUUAAUAAGGUGGAUUUCUAUGGAAACCAACGGUCUAUUCAAUAAUAAACCGAAAGACAAGUAAGACAAGUAACAUCAUGAUUCCAAAUGUAGCUACAUUAAUUCAGGUGUUAUCCUUGAUAUCAAACAAAUCCCCUAAAACAUACAGACGGUAAAAAUUCUGAGGCUGAAGUAAUAAAUAAUUAUUAAAAAUGUUCCUCUCUCCCAUUCUCCUCCAGCUGAGUCUUUAAGGGGCAUACAUCAUUUUAGGAAAAACUCAAUGUAUUCUACUGAAUCCAAUUGAAAUUGAAAUGUAAAACAACAGGAAUUGUCAUGCCACGCCCCAGACCCCGUGCCCCCGGUCCCAUGCCCCACACCCCAGGUCCCACGCCCCACACCCCACGCCUCUGGCCCCAUGCCCCACACCCCAGGUCCCAGGUCCCAUGCCCCACAACCCCACGCCCUACGCCCCACGCCCCACGACCCGUGCACCACGCCUCUGGUCCCACACCCCAGGUCCCAGGUCCCAUGCCCCACAGCCUCACGCCCUACGCC